AAUCCAUAGGUUAAUGAGGCGAACCGGGGGAACUGAAACAUCUAAGUACCCCGAGGAAAAGAAAUCAACCGAGAUUCCCCCAGUAGCGGCGAGCGAACGGGGAGGAGCCCAGAGCCUGAAUCAGCAUGUGUGUUAGUGGAAGCGUCUGGAAAGGCGCGCGAUACAGGGUGACAGCCCCGUACACAAAAGCGCAUGUGCUGUGAGCUCGAUGAGUAGGGCGGGACACGUGGUAUCCUGUCUGAAUAUGGGGGGACCAUCCUCCAAGGCUAAAUACUCCUGACUGACCGAUAGUGAACCAGUACCGUGAGGGAAAGGCGAAAAGAACCCCGGCGAGGGGAGUGAAAAAGAACCUGAAACCGUGUACGUACAAGCAGUGGGAGCACC
Molecule: ribosomal RNA, 384 nt
Filed under: Salmonella enterica
Lineage: Bacteria; Pseudomonadati; Pseudomonadota; Gammaproteobacteria; Enterobacterales; Enterobacteriaceae
Also listed under: 1 other name
Description: partial 23S ribosomal RNA
Rfam family: Bacterial large subunit ribosomal RNA
Source: RNAcentral